GUAGGUGGCAAGCGUUGUCCGGAAUUAUUGGGCGUAAAGCGCGCGCAGGGCGGUCCUUUAAGUCUGAUGUGAAAGCCCACGGCUCAACCGUGGAGGGUCAUUGGAAACUGGGGGACUUGAGUACAGAAGAGGAAAGCGGAAUUCCAAGUGUAGCGGUGAAAUGCGUAGAGAUUUGGAGGAACACCAGUGGCGAAGGCGGCUUUCUGGUCUGUAACUGACGCUGAGGCGCGAAAGCGUGGGGAGCAAACAGGAUUAGAUACCCUGGUAGUCCACGCCGUAAACGAUGAGUGCUAAGUGUUAGGGGGGUUUCCGCCCCUUAGUGCUGCAGCUAACGCAUUAAGCACUCCGCCUGGGGAGUACGGCCGCAAGGCUG
RNAcentral lists this ribosomal RNA (373 nucleotides) under uncultured organism. Its description in RNAcentral is "partial 16S ribosomal RNA". It matches the Rfam family "Bacterial small subunit ribosomal RNA", at positions 527 to 896 of the family's 1533-position model. The record is from RNAcentral.